GAUGAACGCUGGCGGCGUGCCUGAUACAUGCAAGUCGAACGAAACUUCUUUAUCACCGAGUGCUUGCACUCACCGAUAAAGAGUUGAGUGGCGAACGGGUGAGUAACACGUGGGCAACCUGCCCAAAAGAGGGGGAUAACACUUGGAAACAGGUGCUAAUACCGCAUAACCAUAGUUACCGCAUGGUAACUAUGUAAAAGGUGGCUAUACUACCGCUUUUGGAUGGGCCCGCGGCGCAUUAGCUAGUUGGUAGGGUAAAGGCUUACCAAGGCAAUGAUGCGUAGCCGAAUUGAGAGGUUGAUCGGCCACAUUGGGACUGAGACACGGCCCAAACUCCUACGGGAGGCAGCAGUAGGGAAUCUUCCACAAUGGGCGAAAGCCUGAUGGAGCAACGCCGCGUGGGUGAAGAAGGUCUUCGGAUCGUAAAACCCUGUUGUUAGAGAAGAAAGUGCGUGAGAGUAACUGUUCACGUUUCGACGGUAUCUAACCAGAAAGCCACGGCUAACUACGUG
RNAcentral lists this ribosomal RNA (512 nucleotides) under uncultured bacterium. RNAcentral's name for it is "partial 16S ribosomal RNA". It matches the Rfam family "Bacterial small subunit ribosomal RNA", at positions 28 to 507 of the family's 1533-position model. The record is from RNAcentral.